Molecule: non-coding RNA, 27 nt
Filed under: Cricetulus griseus (Chinese hamster)
Lineage: Eukaryota; Metazoa; Chordata; Mammalia; Rodentia; Cricetidae
Source: RNAcentral
UGACCAAGAGGAGAAGGUCAUUCCACC